GAUGAACGCUGGCGGCGUGCCUAAUACAUGCAAGUCGAGCGAACAGACGAGGAGCUUGCUCCUCUGACGUUAGCGGCGGACGGGUGAGUAACACGUGGAUAACCUACCUAUAAGACUGGGAUAACUUCGGGAAACCGGAGCUAAUACCGGAUAACAUGUUGAACCGCAUGGUUCAAUAGUGAAAGACGGUCUUGCUGUCACUUAUAGAUGGAUCCGCGCCGCAUUAGCUAGUUGGUAAGGUAACGGCUUACCAAGGCAACGAUGCGUAGCCGACCUGAGAGGGUGAUCGGCCACACUGGAACUGAGACACGGUCCAGACUCCUACGGGAGGCAGCAGUAGGGAAUCUUCCGCAAUGGGCGAAAGCCUGACGGAGCAACGCCGCGUGAGUGAAGAAGGUCUUCGGAUCGUAAAACUCCGUUAUUAGGGAAGAACAAAUGUGUAAGUAACUAUGCACGUCUUGACGGUACCUAAUCAGAAAGCCACGGCUAACUACGUG
RNAcentral lists this ribosomal RNA (497 nucleotides) under uncultured bacterium. RNAcentral's name for it is "partial 16S ribosomal RNA". It matches the Rfam family "Bacterial small subunit ribosomal RNA", at positions 28 to 507 of the family's 1533-position model. The record is from RNAcentral.